AGAUGUGAGGGCAGCCUGGCUGCACCAUCUGUCACCUCUUUGGUCACCAGGGUUGAUUUGGAUAAUCUGGCUGGCUAGGCUGGUGUCCCCUUCCUCCCUCAACGCUCCAUGUGUGUCCCUCCCCAAAGUUUCUGGCUUAAAGAGGAUGACCAUCGCCAAUAGGAGAGGACUGUUCCUCCCUCAGCGGUGUACAAGUAGCUGGGCUGCCCUUCUGGAACCUCCAGACAAACUCUCAAAGAAGAAACUCUUCACAUUGCAUUGCUGAGUGCAUAGUAAGUGCUGAAUAAAUACUGUUUCAGUGAAUGAAUU
RNAcentral lists this small RNA (309 nucleotides) under Chinchilla lanigera (long-tailed chinchilla). RNAcentral's name for it is "7SK RNA (ENSCLAG00000021480.1)". It matches the Rfam family "7SK RNA", at positions 1 to 263 of the family's 331-position model. From Rfam's summary of the family: 7SK was discovered as an abundant small nuclear RNA in the mid-70s but a possible function has only recently been suggested. Two independent studies have found that 7SK RNA binds the CDK9/cyclin T complex (known as elongation factor P-TEFb). Lineage: Eukaryota; Metazoa; Chordata; Mammalia; Rodentia; Chinchillidae. The record is from RNAcentral.